Molecule: ribosomal RNA, 253 nt
Filed under: uncultured bacterium
Lineage: Bacteria
Description: partial 16S ribosomal RNA
Rfam family: Bacterial small subunit ribosomal RNA
Source: RNAcentral
UACGUAGGGCGCAAGCGUUGUCCGGAAUUAUUGGGCGUAAAGAGCUCGUAGGCGGCUCGUCGCGUCGACCGUGAAAACCCGCGGCUUAACUGCGGGCUUGCGGUUGAUACGGGCGGGCUAGAGUUCGGUAGGGGAGACUGGAAUUCCUGGUGUAGCGGUGAAAUGCGCAGAUAUCAGGAGGAACACCGGUGGCGAAGGCGGGUCUCUGGGCCGAUACUGACGCUGAGGAGCGAAAGCGUGGGGAGCGAACAGG